This 795-nucleotide ribosomal RNA is filed under the name uncultured bacterium. Its description in RNAcentral is "bacterial SSU rRNA". It matches the Rfam family "Bacterial small subunit ribosomal RNA", at positions 8 to 796 of the family's 1533-position model. The record is from RNAcentral.
AGAGUUUGAUCAUGGCUCAGGAUGAACGCUAGCGGCAGGCUUAAUACAUGCAAGUCGUGGGGCAGCGCAGUGUAGCAAUACAUGGGCGGCGACCGGCAAACGGGUGCGGAACACGUACGCAACCUUCCUUUAAGCGGGGGAUAGCCCAGGGAAACUUGGAUUAAUACCCCAUAAGAUUAUGGUGUGGCAUCACACAGUAAUUAAAGCUCCGGCACUUAAAGAUGGGCGUGCGGCUGAUUAGGUAGUUGGCGGAGUAACAGCCCACCAAGCCAACGAUCAGUAACUGGUGUGAGAGCACGACCAGUCACACGGGCACUGAGACACGGGCCCGACUCCUACGGGAGGCAGCAGUAAGGAAUAUUGGUCAAUGGACGCAAGUCUGAACCAGCCAUGCCGCGUGGAGGAUGAAGGCCCUCUGGGUUGUAAACUUCUUUUAUUUGGGAAGAAACCACUCUUUUCUAAGGGUGUUGACGGUACCAUUUGAAUAAGCACCGGCUAACUCCGUGCCAGCAGCCGCGGUAAUACGGAGGGUGCAAGCGUUAUCCGGAUUCACUGGGUUUAAAGGGUGCGUAGGUGGGCAGGUAAGUCAGUGGUGAAAUCUCUGGGCUUAACCCAGAAACUGCCGUUGAUACUAUCUGUCUUGAAUGUAGUGGAGGUGAGCGGAAUAUGUCAUGUAGCGGUGAAAUGCUUAGAUAUGACAUAGAACACCCAUUGCGAAGGCAGCUCGCUACACUAUUAUUGACACUGAGGCACGAAAGCGUGGGGAUCAAACAGGAUUAGAUACCCUAGUAGUCC